RNAcentral lists this ribosomal RNA (441 nucleotides) under uncultured bacterium. RNAcentral describes it as "partial 16S ribosomal RNA". It matches the Rfam family "Bacterial small subunit ribosomal RNA", at positions 338 to 795 of the family's 1533-position model. The record is from RNAcentral.
CCUACGGGAGGCAGCAGUGGGGAAUAUUGCACAAUGGGGGAAACCCUGAUGCAGCGACGCCGCGUGAGUGAAGAAGUAUUUCGGUAUGUAAAGCCCUAUCAGCAGGGAAGAAGAAAGACGGUACCUGACUAAGAAGCCCCGGCUAACUACGUGCCAGCAGCCGCGGUAAUACGUAGGGGGCAAGCGUUAUCCGGAUUUACUGGGUGUAAAGGGAGCGUAGACGGCUGUGCAAGUCUGAAGUGAAAGCCCAGGGCUCAACCCUGGGACUGCUUUGGAAACUGUGGAGCUAGAGUGCUGGAGAGGUAAGUGGAAUGCCUAGUGUAGCGGUGAAAUGCGUAGAUAUUAGGAGGAACACCAGUGGCGAAGGCGGCUUACUGGAGAGUAACUGACGUUGAGGCUCGAAAGCGUGGGGAGCGAACAGGAUUAGAUACCCUUGUAGUC